RNAcentral lists this ribosomal RNA (494 nucleotides) under uncultured bacterium. RNAcentral describes it as "partial 16S ribosomal RNA". It matches the Rfam family "Bacterial small subunit ribosomal RNA", at positions 28 to 507 of the family's 1533-position model. The record is from RNAcentral.
GACGAACGCUGGCGGCGUGCUUAACACAUGCAAGUCGAACGGAAAGGCCUGCUUUCCCUUGUGGAUUGCGGGUACUCGAGUGGCUAACGGGUGAGUAACACGUGAGUGAUCUGCCCCCAACUUGGUUAUAAGCCUGGGAAACUGGGUCUAAUUCCCGAUAGGACUGCAGGGUGGUGCCUGUGGUGGAAAACGUUUUUCUAGUUGUUGGGGAUGAGCUCGCGGCCUAUCAGCUUGUUGGUGGGGUAAUGUCCUACCAAGGCGGCGACGGGUAGCCGGCCGGGGAGGGGGGACGGCCACAUUGGGACAGAGAUACGGCCCAGACUCCUACGGGAGGCAGCAGUGGGGAAUAUUGGACAAUGGGCGGAAGCCUGAAGCAGCGACGCAGCGUGGGGGAUGACGGCAUUCGGGUUGUAAACUCCUUGCGACCGAGAGGAAGCCACGUGGUUGGAAGGGUGGUGACGGUAGUGGUAGAAGAAGCACCGGCUAACUACGUG